GAGAGAUUAUGUGUCUGCUGAAGAGCCCCCAGCCUGGUGGUCAGGGCCUCCUGGUGGAGGCGUCCAUCCAAGGGCUUUCCCUUUGUUCUCUUCCUUCACUAAGUUGUGCGUGCGUGUGUGUGUGUGCACACGCCUCUAUGAGUGUGCUGGAAACUGGGCAUGAGCAACAAAUGGGUAUGGCUGGGGGGAGGGGUGCAGAGCAGAGGCAGCGCAGCCAGGAAUCUACACUCAAACUAUCAAGAGGAAGGAAGUAGCAGCGAAAAUAGCCUGGGUGCGGUGGUAGGAAAUAUUAAGGGGAAAAACGAGAUGCCUGGCGUCGGGGUGAAGAAGAGCUCCUAAAAACGCGGGCAUGUGUGGGGAAGGAAUUGUGUGUUGUUGAAACUUCAAAUCCAGAAUGUGAGCAGUGGGCAGGCCGCGCUGGAGGAAGCCGAUCAAGACACAGAACGUUCAGCUUAACAAAGAAAUGACGCUGGCCAGCAACCGGAGCCUGGCAGAAGGAAACCUUUUGUACCAGCCCCAACUGGAUGCUCUGAAAGCACGUUUGACCCAAAAAUACCAGGAACUUCAGGUUCUCUUUGAAGCCUAUCAGAUAAAGAAGACCAAAUUAGCUUCCUGGAAAGUCAGCUCUCAGAAGGUUUGACUCUCCUAGUGCCUUUCCAGUUACAAGGCACUCCUCCUCUGGCAGGGGAGGGAAGGAGGCGGAGGAGCAGGUUUGAAGGGCUGGGGGUCGUGCCCCUCUCAUCG
Molecule: long non-coding RNA, 744 nt
Filed under: Equus caballus (horse)
Lineage: Eukaryota; Metazoa; Chordata; Mammalia; Perissodactyla; Equidae
Description: lncRNA (ENSECAG00000052507.1)
Source: RNAcentral